Molecule: ribosomal RNA, 372 nt
Filed under: uncultured organism
Description: partial 16S ribosomal RNA
Rfam family: Bacterial small subunit ribosomal RNA
Source: RNAcentral
AGAGGGGUGCAAGCGUUAAUCGGACUUACUGGGCGUAAAGGGCACGUAGGUGGAUCUUUAAGACAUUGGGUGAAAUCCCUGGGGCUCAACCUAGGAAUUGCUAGUGAAACUGGAGAUCUAGAGUAUGAUAGAGGGAAGUGGAAUUUCCGGUGUAGCGGUGAAAUGCGUAGAUAUCGGAAGGAACAUCAGUGGCGAAGGCGGCUUCCUGGGUCAAUACUGACACUAAGGUGCGAAAGCGUGGGUAGCAAACAGGAUUAGAUACCCUGGUAGUCCACGCCGUAAACGAUGAGUACUAGAUGUUGGGUAGGUUUCUAUUCAGUAUCGCAGCUAACGCAUUAAGUACUCCGCCUGGGGAUUACGGCCGCAAGGCUA